AGUGAACGCUGGCGGUAGGCCUAACACAUGCAAGUCGAACGGCAGCACAGGAGAGCUUGCUCUCUGGGUGGCGAGUGGCGGACGGGUGAGGAAUACAUCGGAAUCUACUCUGUCGUGGGGGAUAACGUAGGGAAACUUACGCUAAUACCGCAUACGACCUACGGGUGAAAGCAGGGGAUCUUCGGACCUUGCGCGAUUGAAUGAGCCGAUGUCGGAUUAGCUAGUUGGCGGGGUAAAGGCCCACCAAGGCGACGAUCCGUAGCUGGUCUGAGAGGAUGAUCAGCCACACGUGAACUGAGACACGGUCCAGACUCCUACGGGAGGCAGCAGUGGGGAAUAUUGGACAAUGGGCGCAAGCCUGAUCCAGCCAUACCGCGUGGGUGAAGAAGGCCUUCGGGUUGUAGAGCCCUUUUGUUGGGAAAGAAAUCCAGCUGGCUAAUACCCGGUUGGGAUGACGGUACCCAAAGAAUAAGCACCGGCUAACUUCGUGCCAGCCGCCGCCGUAA
This 506-nucleotide ribosomal RNA is filed under the name uncultured bacterium. RNAcentral's name for it is "partial 16S ribosomal RNA". It matches the Rfam family "Bacterial small subunit ribosomal RNA", at positions 29 to 523 of the family's 1533-position model. The record is from RNAcentral.